CGGGUGAGUAACACGUGAGUGACCUGCCCUUUAGACUGGAACAACUUACCGAAAGGUGAGCUAAUGCCGGAUGAGUUAUAUAAGUGCAUGUUUAUAUAGGAAAAGUUGGGGAGACCUGACGCUGAAAGAUGGACUCGCGUCCCAUUAGCUAGUUGGUAGGGUAAUGGCCUACCAAGGCGACGAUGGGUAGCCGGCCUGAGAGGGUGGCCGGCCACACUGGGACUGAGACACGGCCCAGACUCCUACGGAAGGCAGCAG
RNAcentral lists this ribosomal RNA (258 nucleotides) under uncultured bacterium. RNAcentral's name for it is "partial 16S ribosomal RNA". It matches the Rfam family "Bacterial small subunit ribosomal RNA", at positions 103 to 354 of the family's 1533-position model. The record is from RNAcentral.